RNAcentral lists this ribosomal RNA (779 nucleotides) under uncultured bacterium. RNAcentral's name for it is "bacterial SSU rRNA". It matches the Rfam family "Bacterial small subunit ribosomal RNA", at positions 61 to 851 of the family's 1533-position model. The record is from RNAcentral.
GUCGAACGGGCUCGGAUUGAAACCUAGUGAUUUCCGAGUUAGUGGCGGACGGGUGAGUAACGCGUGGAUAACCUGCCGUAUGCAGGGGGAUAACAGUUGGAAACAGCUGCUAAUACCGCAUAAGCGCACAGUACCGCAUGGUACGGUGUGAAAAGAUUUAUCGGCAUACGAUGGAUCCGCGUCCGAUUAGCCAGUUGGCGGGGUAACGGCCCACCAAAGCGACGAUCGGUAGCCGGCCUGAGAGGGCGGACGGCCACAUUGGGACUGAGACACGGCCCAAACUCCUACGGGAGGCAGCAGUGGGGAAUAUUGCACAAUGGGGGAAACCCUGAUGCAGCGACGCCGCGUGAGUGAAGAAGUAUCUCGGUAUGUAAAGCUCUAUCAGCAGGGAAGAAAAUGACGGUACCUGACUAAGAAGCCCCGGCUAACUACGUGCCAGCAGCCGCGGUAAUACGUAGGGGGCAAGCGUUAUCCGGAUUUACUGGGUGUAAAGGGAGCGUAGACGGCGCUGCAAGUCCGGAGUGAAAGCCCAUGGCUUAACCAUGGUACUGCUCUGGAAACUGUGGAGCUUGAGUGCGGGAGGGGCAGGCGGAAUUCCUAGUGUAGCGGUGAAAUGCGUAGAUAUUAGGAGGAACACCGGCGGCGAAGGCGGCCUGCUGGACCGUAACUGACGUUGAGGCUCGAAAGCGUGGGGAGCAAACAGGAUUAGAUACCCUGGUAGUCCACGCCGUAAACGAUGAUUACCAGGUGUCGCGGUACGAAGUACUGCGGUGCCGGCG